GCUAGAUUUUUUUAAAAAUAUUUAUUUAUUUAUUUAUUUAUUUUAUGAUUUCAUUUUUUCCUUUUUCUCCCCAAAGUCCGCGAGUACAUAGUUGUAUAUUCUUUGUUGUGGGUCCUUCUAGUUGUGGCAUGUGGGACACUGCCUCAGCGUGGUCUGAUGAGCAGUGCCAUGUCCGCGCCCAGGAUUCGAACCAACGAAACACUGGGCCGCCUGCAGCGGAGGGCGUGAACUUAAUCACUUGGCCACAGGGCCAGCCCUCAAGAUGCUAGAUUUUUGGCAAGGGUGCUGUUAUGGCUGUUUUUCUUUCCUUUUUCCCUUUUUUUUCUUCAGUCUUAGGAAUUGGUGAUGGGCUUAGAUAUUUCCCAGAGAGUUUGCAAGCUCUUUGAGAUAAGGAAAAUGGGUGGAAUCUGAACUGCCUCUAGAGCUGCAUUCCCACUCUUGCAAGGAUUUUUUUUUAAUGACAGUUGCUCUUAAUUCCUUAGAAAUUGGGUUGUAACUUAAAUGACAUUAUAAGUUGACCUACCUGUCCAACUAUAUCAAAAAGGCACAAAGAAAUGAUUCAAGUUUUCUCCAAGAUGGAGUUUCUGGGGCAUAUUUGCCUUAUCAGUUUCUAAUGUCCCAAUAUCUAUGAGCAUUUUUUUUUUUUUAAAUAUUGGCACCUGAGCUAAUAACUGUUGCCAAUCUUUUUUUUUCUCUGCUUUUUCUCCCCAAGUCCUCUCAGUACAGAGUUGUAUAUUUUAGUUGUGGGUCCUUCUAGUUGUGGCAUGUGGGAUGCCACCUCAGUGUGGUCUGAUGAGCGGUGCCAUGUCCGCGCCCAGGAUCCAAACCAGUGAAACCCUGGGCUGCCAAAGUGGAGCACAUGAACUUAACCACUUGGCCAUGGGGCUGGCCCCUCUGUGAGCAUUUUGAGAGGAACAGGGGAGGUUUGGGGAUUGGUAAAAGGACAAGUGAACUUUGAGCCAUCUUCUAGAACCAUACAGGGAUUUGCAAAACAAAAGGAUUUGCAAGACAAAGAUGGUUGUUUCCAGUUCCCCAAAGAAAUGGACUACGGUCUGAAUGAUAAAAUAGGUUGACCCACCCUUUCAGCUACACUUUUCCAAUUGCUUCCUUAUAUCAGGGAGAUUUUUAACUUAAGAAGUGAAUCAAAAGAUUUUUAUGUUCUAAAACUUCAGGACAAUGUAUCACACCUUUAAAAAGUCUGCACAAAGUGGAAGGCCCUCUUUCCAAGUGCACAAUUCAAAUCUAGACCAAUUUAUGCUGGGGGUGGGGUGCUUUCAUUAGCACCUGUAAGACCAUGAGAGGAAGCUGAGACCCCAAAUUUGAUUAGGUUCUUAAGACUAGUCAUUACCAGAGCUCUCCAAAUUUUUUUCCAAUUUAGAAGUUUUUCCAAUUUAAGGCUCUGUCUCUGGCCAUUGACAAGUAAGGUCUUAACAGCAAUUCUUAACCAAUAAGCCUUUUAGGGCUUAAUUAUGGAUGCAAGAGGUGUCCCCAAAAGAGAGUGCAAAAGAAGUAGAAAGUUCACUCCCCAAAAUAAUCUAAGAAAGCAAAGGCCUUCGUUGCACAGGUGGUAGUGUACUAACAGGCAAUGAAGGAUGAGACAACAAAGGGCCCCUGAUGGACUGGGGCCCCUCAUGACAAACAUCCCUGAGAUCUGAUACAGCUGGACAGAGAGAGUACGCCUGGGAACCCCAGUCUACUUGACUGGCCAAAGAUGCACGCUGGUACAUGCAUCCUCUGGAUGGCAGAGACCAAAGAGGUCACAAAGCUAAGGUCUCAAAACAUGGACUGAGGGCCCGCCCAGACAACAGGCUUGUGGAGAUGCCUGUGUCUUGCCCUAUGGUUUUUUUCCUUUUUAUGACAAGUGACACAAAAGACAGAGACAAGAAAAAAUAGUAACCAUCUCUGGGAGGAGAAGGAUCAGUAAACCAAUGAGUACUCAAACCAAUUUCUCAGAGUUGCUGAAUGAUCCACCAUCUGGCCAUUUUCUCUGGAUUUUAAAGACUAUCGUGGCCAUGUGGUUUUAUAAAAGAAUAUUAAGCUUUUUCUGUUUCAUGGGCUUGUAGCCUAAAAUUGCCCAGUUUGAGAGAAUGUAGCCUGAGGGACUACAGGUGGGGAUUGAAAUAGCAUUUCCCAUUGUUUCAGAAUUUAGACGUGGCCAGUCAAAAGUAUAUUUAUGUUGCAGCUAGAACUAGAUCUCUAAAAUUUUGGGCAUCCCCCAAACCAAGACCCUCACAAUGAAGGCCAAACCAAGGCUUCCUUGUAAUGGCCAAUGCCAUUCCCUUGAGGCUGAUGGCAGUUUGGUAGGACCCCUAGCCACAAACCGGAGUGCGCCCUGCAUUUCUUCUCUGCUGUUUCUUACCACAAAAUGGAGUGCAACCGCAUUUUUGCCCAAUUGUAUUUUGGGACCUCCAACCUGAUGAUUAUUAAGCCAAGCCCUCAGGACACUAAACAAGCUUAAUAGGAUUGUGCAGUUCUUUGUAAACAUUUACAACUUCUGGAAACUUUAGGUUUUGAACAAUUAUACGGGAAGGUGGCGAGCUUGACCUUUAAAAAAUUUCUUUGUUACCUGGGUCUUAAAAAGGAGCCUCAAAGUGGCCACUGUAGUUUUAAAUUAUCCUGGGUUAUCUUGCCACUUGUUUACAGUUAUCCCCAUUUUAGGAGGCUUUUCCCAAGGUGGCCACAACAAACAAGGUAAUUUCUAAAGAGAGUUUGUUACGGUUACUGAGAAACUCAGUCCUCAAAACAGCCAAUUCAAUUUAGACAAACGUUAACACGCAACAAUUCUACAUAUAACACAGACCAGAAUACUAGCUGGUUUUCAGGAGUAGCUCAGAACCAGUGCCAGGAGCUACUCAAAACCAGAUUGCCAGGGCAGCACACAAUCUGUGCCAGCAGUUGCCCAGAUCCAGAAGCAACUUCAUGAGUGAAGCUUUCAUCCUGCCUCUAAUUACCUUGGGUGGUUCAGGCCCAAGCUUCGGGUCUCAGGCCACCAGGAUUCCCCAGAAUACAAGCCAAACUUGUAUUUCCAGGAAAUCAAACUAGAGAGACGAGGUAAGGGACAGACGCUUUCUUAAAGUUACUCACCGAGAGCCCAGAGACAUCUUGACCCAGAAGCUGCAUCUUCACCCCCUGCAAAAAAAACCUCCUUGGGGCUGGGAGCACUGCAGCAGAGGAAACAAGAAUCUGGUCAGUUGAGCCUCUAGACAAAAUUGUCUAGGCAGCUGCUUAGGAUUGAUGAAAAGACCCCACAGUCCACCAGGGGUUCCAAAGCCUUGGAUGGGCAGUCACAGGACCUUGUCCUAUCUGGUCACCAAUUGUUACCACACAAAAUUGGGGUUCUUUUACCCAAUGUGCACAAACAGCCAAUUAAUUAUAGCAUCAACUUUUAGGGGAGAAAUCAGCUUUAUUCUGCAAGACAGCUCUGAGGGCACACGCCCCCAUCUCCCUGCAGAUUGAUCUCACAGAAUAAAGGUGAUUUCUUCCCCAAAAGCUGAUCUCAUAAUUAAUUGGCUAUUUGUGCACACUGGGCAAGAGAGCCCAAUUUUGUGUGGUAACACCCUUAUAGUGCAGGUAUCAUUUCCAUUUACACAUGAGGAAACUGCCGCGGAGAGAUGCUAAGCAACUUUUGUAAAGUCACACAGCUAGUAAAUAGAGAAGUCCCUGGACUUGACACCACACUUUCCCCAGGCUCCAAAAGCCAUCAGGGGUUAGGUUAAUUGGAAUCUGAUGUCUUUGUCACUUCUCACUUUAAUUAUUCCUCACUGUUUAAAGUGGAAGACACUUCGAGUUACCUUAGUCUACUGUCUGUCAGAGUGAGAGGGAGGGGAAAGGAGACAAUUUGCAAGUGAUCAAAAGAUAGUCCUGAUAUUUAAGAUUCUCUUACCUUUCAUUUUUCGUUUUGGGGUCUUAGGCACCUCAAGUCCAGGUGUCAAAGGAUCAGAGCAUCUGCAGCCCAACUCUCCCACUGCUGAGGUCUCCCACCACAUUGGAAGCUGGGGUAGGGUACAAAACUGCCCUCAGAGUUUCAGAAGAGGCAGAGUGGAGAGGAGGGGCUGGGGACAAGAGCUGAGCUUUGACUAGACACCGGCUCCUCCCUUUCCCAUCCCUGCAGUGGCCGGUAGCUGCAGAGCUCGUGGUAGAGGUGUCCGGGGGUCACAUGACUGGGCCUCACCUUCUUCAAGAUCUCCGAUUUAGUCUUAUGGCAGCUUCUAGUGAGGUUGGGCAUAUAGUCGUAUUUAGCAAGUGCAUGUGCUGAAACAGUUGACUUGUUAAAUGUGAACAAAAUAUAUCACAUUUUUAGUAACUCUGCUUUAGGAAUUUUCCUCCUUCCACUGUCCCUCUACUUCCCCCUCCCUCCCUCCCUCCAUUUCCCUUUUUUCUCUCUCUCUUUCUCUCUGUCACAGAGGCCCUAGUAGCUGACUUUUCCUUUAAUUUCAUACCAAGUUUGAUAGAGAUUUCUUGGUAUAGCCUCUAUUGGCAGUACACUUGGCAUUUCAAACCAUUUUUAAAAAAAGUUGUAAGUGGGUGGAGGAUAAUAUUUGAGAAAAUAAUUGAAUUUUUUCUCCAGGCCUUUUUUUUUUUUUUAAAGUACAUAGUUGUGUGCUUUUAGUUGUGGGUCCUUCUAGUUGUGGCAUGUGGGACGCCGCCUCAGCAUGGCUUGACGAGUGGUGCCAUGUCCGUGCCCAGGAUCUGAACAGGCGAAACCCUGGGCCGCAGAAGUGGAGCGCUCGAACUUAACCACUCGGCCACAGGGCCAGCCCCUCUCCAGGCUUUCUUAUACACAUUAGCCUUCUCCCACCACUGGGGCACUGGGAUAUGAUCCUGAAUGCACUACCCUCAGGAGAGAGCUGACAAAUAGACAGUCUUUCUAUUUCAUUCUAAGAGCUAGGUUUUUAAGAGAGAGAAGGGUUUUAAAUUCUGAAAAAUUUGGCUUUGACAUCAAUAUCCAGUGGCUUCAGCAUCCAGGGGUGUGUCAGAGCUGGCCUGCACCAGCUCAGGAGAGCAGAUUGUGGACAUCUUUUCUCAACUCCAUGUUCAGUAGCUUGAAAUCAACCAUGGUGGAAGUGUGUACACCAUGAAAAUUGGCAAAUACUACAAACCAGGGUUUUUUUUCCCCCUAAAAAAUCAGUUGUUAAACAUUCACCAACAUAUCACUGCUUUAUUCCAUUAACAAUUGAUUGGACAGUGCAAAUGAUGAUGUAGAAACAGUUUCCCACCUCUAUCUAGAUAGAGAUCCCACAGAUUGUGGAAGGAGAGGGGAUUAAGAGAAAAAAGCACAGGUGAACCACCCAGUAAACCCUUCUAGGCUGAAGCCAAGGAGGUUGGUGUAGGGCACGCAGAAAAAUAUCCAGAUAGGGCUGGAGAUAGGAGGCCCAGCAGACUGUGUCCCACUUCCCAUCUGCAACUCUGUGAGCAGUUAGGAGCUACACAGACUGCUGUGAGUGAAAAUGGGCAGAAAUGGCAGCAGGUGUAGAAAUGGCCUGUGAGAGCUAGCCUCCCUGCUGCUCCCCCACCUGCCAUGCCUCCCUCAACUCCUUUGAGGCCAAGGAACCCAUAGAGAUUUCCUGUCCGACACCAGGAUGGGAGUGGAGAUCAGCUCAGAGACUGGGAGUACGUGGGCCAGUGGGUCACUGACCUUGCCUUGGCUGCUGUCAAGACCACUGAGGAUGGCACAGUUCAGAAACCAACAUGCUGGAAGCCAGCGAGCAUUGACCAGGAUUCCUCUCCGACAAGACCAAGGCCCCCGGUGACUUAGGUCACUUUCCAAGAGAAGUGUGAGGAAGAGAGUCAAGAAGUGAUUAUUGUCCCCAGGAACGACUGGGUUGGGUCCAUGAAUUAUACAAUAUUUGGCGACCAGAUGUCAUUGAGGGUUUUUUUAAAGAAGUUUUCAUAGAAGAGAUGGAAGAUUGGCAAAAACCAUAGAAAAUGGCGACUGAAAAGUUGUGUGCUGAUCGAUGGAAAAAAGGAAAGGGCAACAAGUGGAGGAGAGUCAAGACUGCAAUGAGAAUAAAAGAAACGGGGAAAUAGAAACACACGACAACAAUGCCUAAGAGAGCGACAGAGGAAACAUUGAGAAGAAAACAGAUAAGGGAGAAAUACUGCACAGAGAAUGCUACACCAGAAAUUAGCAAGAUCCGUGGAGGCAGGAAGAAAAUAAAGAAGAAAGAUAGAGGUUAUAUGGUCCCAUGUAACAGGAGCCCCCGAUUUCUAUGCUUCCUGGGAUUGUGUUAGAGGUAGGGAGCUAUUCCAUGGCUCCAUAAUUCCCCUCGAGAAACAAGGCAUUUCAAAGUUUCCCAAACCUAGUGUGUACUGGACUGUGAGAGCUAGUUGUUAAAUUUUCAGGAAUUCCGUGAGCUAGCUGUUAAACUGGUUAUUUUAAAAAAAAUAAUAACACUAUAUAAGCUUAAAAUUAAAUAAAUUAUAUUAAAAACACAUAAUAGAUACUAAAAACUCAUCAGGUUCUAAUUAUUUUGGAAUAUUUUACUAUCGAUGUAUCUGCAUCUAUCGUGUGGAAAUAUUAUGCAACGGUGUGUUACUACAUAUCCUUUCGUAACACUGCCUUCAAGUGACUUCAUAUUGGAGGAUUGAAAUCAGCCACAGUGGGAGUAUCUACACCAUAGAGAUCAGCAAUUACUACAAAUUGAGGCUUAACAUAUUGUUUUAUUGAUUGUCUAGAUGUAACAACAUGGUGGAGAAAAUAAUACUGUAGAUUAAACUUAAAAGUGUAUUGUGUCCGUAGCUGUUACAUUGUG
Molecule: long non-coding RNA, 6752 nt
Filed under: Equus caballus (horse)
Lineage: Eukaryota; Metazoa; Chordata; Mammalia; Perissodactyla; Equidae
Description: lncRNA (ENSECAG00000047526.1)
Source: RNAcentral